CAGUCGCCGCGGGAAUACAGAGGGUGCAAGCGUUAAUCGGAAUUACUGGGCGUAAAGCGCGCGUAGGUGGUUUGUUAAGUUGGAUGUGAAAGCCCCGGGCUCAACCUGGGAACUGCAUCCAAAACUGGCAAGCUAGAGUACGGUAGAGGGUGGUGGAAUUUCCUGUGUAGCGGUGAAAUGCGUAGAUAUAGGAAGGAACACCAGUGGCGAAGGCGACCACCUGGACUGAUACUGACACUGAGGUGCGAAAGCGUGGGGAGCAAACAGGAUUAGAGACCCCCGUAGUCCCUGUCUCUUAUAC
Molecule: ribosomal RNA, 301 nt
Filed under: uncultured bacterium
Lineage: Bacteria
Description: partial 16S ribosomal RNA
Rfam family: Bacterial small subunit ribosomal RNA
Source: RNAcentral